CUUUUCCGUGGACGAUCCACCGAACAAGGCACCGAAAACCGACGAGCAUUACCAAGUCCUGCCAGAAAACCGGGAAAGGAGCUCACCACGCACGGAAUCUCGUGCGGGAACCUUGUCGAACCGCUCAAAAACAGCUGAAAUUCGACGCUCCGCGUCUUCCGAGCGGAGAUAUGGACGGGCCAGAGAUGGCACAACAACUAACCGAAAAAGGAAACGCAGAGCAUAUCAGGAUUAGAAUUUUCCGUCCGAAAAAAACGGCAGCCAGAUCAGAUGAACUCAACCUCCCUCUCUUAUCUCUCUCUCUCUCUCUCUUCUCCCGGAGGUGAGAUGCAAUUCGAAUGUUCGAGGGUUUCCUUCCAGCUUUUUCUCAGCGCCUCGUUUUUAUAUACGUGCAACACCUCCCUCUGCCUCUCCCUCCCUUCUUUCUACUUCUCAUAUUCACCUAUUUUGAGUCGUUUUCAAUGAACGGCAAUAUCAUCAAAUGUUUUUCAGAAAACCUGUUUAUUGUUUGAGUGCUAUUAACAUAAACAUCCUCUCAUAUAAAUUUUUCAGCUUCCCUUUGCGUAUUUCCAUACAAAUACAUCAUCAUAUUUACAGCGACCUUAUUGCUAGCUUCUGUUAAGAUCAUGUCAUGGUGGUAAGUUCCAAACCAUUUGCAUUUACCCAUUCUCGUUUUCGUGCUUUAUACGACGCUCAUCAAAUAAUUCUAACGCCAAGAAAGAGUUCUCCGACUCGCAUACCAAAUGUGCCGUUAAAUGCAAUAAUGAAAACAUUCACGGGCUCCUCGUAACAUCCCCCGAGUUCGGGAAUUCGUUCAUUUACGUUCUCGUCCGGAAACCGUUCUCAUUAACUCGGGGCGGUUACCAGCAUCGGCGCGUCCGCCCCCCGCUCUUUUGGCGAUCAUUCGCCGCGCGCUUUUAUUCGACCGAUUUACCGCCAUCGGAAAGGCGCUCCCGCGGUAAAUCGGCGAUGAGCGAUGAAGGGUUAGAAUCGGAAUUAGGCGCGAGACUUUCCGCUUUUAUGAACUUCCGGCGGGUUAAUAAAUGUGAGAAUUCACAUCCCCCGAUGCGAGUCCCUCUCGAGGGGCACGCUCGUCAUUCGCAUUAAAUCGUUUCUCCCCCUCCGUAACGGAAGGGGGUCAUGUUCGAGCGGGUCGUGGAACGUUAGGUAUUUCAGAUCCAAUCGAGAAAGAGAUUGAUGAUCCAUCCGUUUCGAGUUAGGAUCUAACCUCUGAUCAAAAACUUACGGAAGGAAAAAGGUUGCCGGUUUAGUCCUUUCCCCCAAAACUGUACGCAACGUCUGCUCGUGAGGGGACGUGAGCGCCCGUCCCGUUUCCAAAUGAGACCAAACAGGCGUUGGGUAGAGCCCCGACAAGGGAGGCGUCUCGGAACACCCGCGGCCGGACGAUUAGGGUUUGGGAACCCCAGAAAGUCAGAAACGAUUACGAUCGCGGUCGAUCGAGAUCUCCGGCCCCGGAUUUCGCGAUCUUGAGUUAGGUUUCGACGGCUGGCCUUUUAGAAAUCCGAGAUGUCAAAAUAUUCCGAUCUCCGUAAGUUUGCACAGUAGAAAUGAGGCCGACCGAACUGGGAUUGUUCACAAGAGAAUAUCGUCGAUUCUGUUUUUGGCAGGAGCGUUCAGCGAGAGAUCCUGAUUAUGCCAAACGCGCUCUUGAAGGAGGGAGUGGCCAAAGGAGUUGAGAGCGGUGGCUUUGUCACGAGGGAAGCGGCCAGGGGAAGGCGCGCCCCAACCAAGAGGAAGGAAGGGGGGAGGGCGGAGUUGACAACUCCUUAAAAGGCAUGGCUCGCUUCUCAAGAAGAGGAAACAUUCCGCCAGAGGACAUUCUCGUCAUUUAAGAAAAAGUCAACGACGCUGAUUUCAUCGGCUUUGCUGCCGCCCUCUUCCCCGAUCGAUAAUGCCGAAACUUCCUAUCCGGACCCUGUCAUGGACACAAUUUCAGAAAGCAGGUUCGUAAUUUUCACGCUCCGUAAAGAAACAACCCCGCUCGUUACUAAAAUUAUCAAACAAGAAGCCGUAGUUUAUGGGAUGCCCUUUACCGUGAAAAGGCUUCUCUUAACUUUUUACUUUCGCCCCGAUAACUUUAUAUGCAAAUGACAUUUUUAUUCCAUUAGGUUGAUUUUUUUUUUUUUUUGUCUGACUGCCUGUGUUAAAGAAUUGAAAAAUGUUAGGUUCGUUUUCGGAAUUUUAGUUAAAAACUAAGGGCGCAAGCGAUAUAGAGAACCAACGCCGGUGAUGAGGUAGGACGAUCUGGUGGCGUCGCUGUCGAGGAGGAGGAAGUGGUGGUGGUGGGGCGGAAGGAGCUCGACAGGUCGCAAUCGGUGGGACCAGGAGUUGCAGGCAGGGCUGUCGGUAGCUGACGGAAACAUUCCGACGGCGGAGGGGGGAGGGGAGGGGACGAUGAGAUACCGGCCGUCCAUCGCCGGCGGUGGAGGGCGGCGGUUCAUGACACGAUCACGUGAGCGAGCCCGUGAUACUCACAUACUCUGACGAAGUGCGGCGUCCCCCUCCUCUGUUCCUCCUUCCUCCGCUCCCGCUUUACGGAGACGUGUCGAUGAAUUCCGGCGUUUCGAAGCGGAGUACUGGGAUGGCGCGUCCACGUCAUGUGAUUCUCUCCUUACACUUUUGCCGAGAGCGUGCGAAAUUACGCUACAGCCACAUGCUCCGGCAAUGGUGGACGGAGGACGAUGCAGUUGAAACUUGAAAACCGAUCGUGGUGGACCGGUGGUUGAUCCACUACAAUACGUGCUUAGUACAUUUCCCGUUUCCUUUUCCAACGAUAAUGAUUUAGAGGUCGGACCAUAUCAAGCCCAGCAAUGACUAUUGGCACUUGGCAGGCAGCCCACUUAAAAGAUUGUGGAGGAAACCUGUUAUUGAAGAUUGAUUAUACUCUUUAGAACCACCGACAGCUUCGACCCGAAAGAAAAGGCCAUAAAGUUAAAGGAAGGUUUCUUUGCUUGAGAAAGCAGAGUGGGAGUCUCCGUCCACAGGAAUUCUCUCUGGAAUCAUGCAUGGCUUCUUGGAGUUUUUUGGCAGCUUCGAUAAAUAUCAGAAAUAAUCAAGAGAGCGAAUGGUGGCCCACAGAUGAGGAGGAGGAGCCUGCUGCUCUUUAAUUUCAGAGGCGAGGGGACAGCUAGAGGAAAAAACAGAAAGCCUAGAGAGAAAGAAAGGGAGAGAUGGAGAGAGACACUGGUUUUGCUGCUGCAGCAACAGCAGGUAGGUGCAAUGGUUGUGCCAUUAAUGGCCGAACCCAGUUCGUGUCAUGGCCGCACCACCACAGUACGGGUUGGCUGCCUAUGAUUGUACUAUAGAGUAUAGAGCUCUGCAACACACAGCCAUUAAUUAGGAGAGAGGGAAAAGGUAAAGGUGGGGAACAUAUCAUUCUGAAAUAAUGGCGCCUCUGGUUCGGACACAUGGUAGGGCUGAGCUAAUUAACAGUCUGCUCGAGUCAAGAUCCUGGCCGUUGUCUGAGGAAUCGGACGGCUCCGAUCUUGUGGGCACCAAACAUUAUUUCCAGUCAUUUAUAUUGAUAAACUAAUAAAUGAAGAAGGUAGUUCCGCUUCAUCCUCACAGGGACGUGGACAUCUCGUGCUGCAAUUUGGCUGGCUUUUGCUGCCAUUCCUCUUCCUCUGACGGCACGUAACACGCCCGAACCAUGGCAGCCCUGUUUCCUUUUUGACCUUUUCUGUUUGCCUUGGGGUUCCUUUUACCUGCCUUCUUCAUCGACAUGCGAACUGGAUUCCAUGUUGAUCUGCCAAAUAGAAAGAAUAUCGACAGGUUGGUUCUGGUUUGAACAUAU
Molecule: long non-coding RNA, 3814 nt
Organism: Nymphaea colorata (pocket water lily)
Lineage: Eukaryota; Viridiplantae; Streptophyta; Magnoliopsida; Nymphaeales; Nymphaeaceae
Exons: 3
Source: RefSeq, a predicted model, not a curated record